UNUGGCUUAACUGGGGGCUUGCGGUGGGUACGGGCCGGCUUGAGUGCGGUAGGGGAGGCUGGAACUCCUGGUGUAGCGGUGGAAUGCGCAGAUAUCAGGAAGAACACCGGUGGCGAAGGCGGGUCUCUGGGCCGUUACUGACGCUGAGGAGCGAAAGCGUGGGGAGCGAACAGGAUUAGAUACCCUGGUAGUCCACGCCGUAAACGUUGGGCACUAGGUGUGGGGGGCCUUUUCCGGGUUUUCCGCGCCGUAGCUAACGCAUUAAGUGCCCCGCCUGGGGAGUACGGCCGCAAGGCUAAAACUCAAAGGAAUUGACGGGGGCCCGCACAAGCGGCGGAGCAUGCGGAUUAAUUCGAUGCAACGCGAAGAACCUUACCAAGGCUUGACAUGUGCCGGUCGGCUCCGGAGACGGGGUUUCCUCCUUGUGGGGCCGGUUCACAGGUGGUGCAUGGUUGUCGUCAGCUCGUGUCGUGAGAUGUUGGGUUAAGUCCCGCAACGAGCGCAACCCUUGUCUCGUGUUGCCAGCACGUUGUGGUGGGGACUCGCGGGAGACUGCCGGGGUCAACUCGGAGGAAGGUGGGGAUGACGUCAAAUCAUUAUGCCCCUUAUGUCUUGGGCUUCACGCAUGCUACAAUGGCCGGUACAGAGGGCUGCGAUACUGUGAGGUGGAGCGAAUCCCUUAAAGCCGGUCUCAGUUCGGAUCGGUGUCUGCAACUCGACACCGUGAAGUUGGAGUCGCUAGUAAUCGCAGAUCAGCAACGCUGCGGUGAAUACGUUCUCGGGCCUUGUACACACCGCCCGUCACGUCAUGAAAGUCGGCAACACCCGAAGCCCGUGGCCUUAUGGGGAG
This 850-nucleotide ribosomal RNA is filed under the name uncultured bacterium. RNAcentral's name for it is "bacterial SSU rRNA". It matches the Rfam family "Bacterial small subunit ribosomal RNA", at positions 603 to 1444 of the family's 1533-position model. The record is from RNAcentral.